GACUCUGUGGCGCAAUGGACAGCGCGGUUUGACUUCCUAGUUGAUCAUCAUGAAAUAAUCCAAAGGUUGUUGGUUCGAGUUCCCACCAGAGUUG
This 94-nucleotide transfer RNA is filed under the name Gasterosteus aculeatus (three-spined stickleback). It matches the Rfam family "tRNA". From Rfam's summary of the family: Transfer RNA (tRNA) molecules are approximately 80 nucleotides in length. Their secondary structure includes four short double-helical elements and three loops (D, anti-codon, and T loops). Further hydrogen bonds mediate the characteristic L-shaped molecular structure. tRNAs have two regions of fundamental functional importance: the anti-codon, which is responsible for specific mRNA codon recognition, and the 3' end, to which the tRNAs corresponding amino acid is attached (by aminoacyl-tRNA synthetases). tRNAs cope with the degeneracy of the genetic code in two manners: having more than one tRNA (with a specific anti-codon) for a particular amino acid; and 'wobble' base-pairing, i.e. permitting non-standard base-pairing at the 3rd anti-codon position. Lineage: Eukaryota; Metazoa; Chordata; Actinopteri; Perciformes; Gasterosteidae. The record is from Rfam by way of RNAcentral.